GUCAAUAUAUAUUAAUUCUGUGAUAAACUGCUUGAUGUCAAAAUUCAAACACUUUACCAUCGACCGUUCGGUCUCGGUCAUACUAUCGCACGGUCUUAUUCAUAAUACCACUCGGUCCUAUUCAUGCUUCGACCUUCAACCUUGGUCAUACUACCACUCGGCAAUUCUCACUACUGAUCGGACUCAUUCAUGCUUCAGCCUUCAGUCCCAAUCAUACUACCACUCGGUCUUAUUCACACUACCGCUCGGUCUCAUCCAUUCUUCCGCCUUCCAUCACUCGGAAUCAUUUUCCACUAUUCAGUUCUUCCUUCCACCGCACGUUCUCAUCAUUCACCGCUCGGUUUUCUGACCUUCAUCAUCAACAUCGCUUUUAUGAUCAAUCCACUAUUGUUUUAUGUAACCGUUUAUUGUUUUCUGUUAUUAAGCAUUUAUUGCUUUCUGUUAUUGCUUUCUUUUUCUCUGUAUAAAUAGACACUAGUUUCUAUCUCUCUGUAACGUUUCAACACAUCAAUCAAAACACAUUUCGUUUAUCUCCUCAAGGCGCUUUCUUUACUUUCUUUGCUUUCUCUAUCUUUCGAUCUCAGUCUGUAAGCCUACUUUAUACUUUUUACUAUGAUGCUUGUAAAUGCACACUAGUUUCCCCUUCUGUCUUUUUUUUUCUUUUCUUUUAUUUUCUUUUCUUUCUUCUUUCUUGGUUUUAAUUUUUGCCUUCUUUGUUCGUUCUUUCACAGACUUUCAGCAAAUAUGAUGGACGCCCAUGACUAAUACUCCAAUUUCCUCUGCUUACAUCCUAGUGAAAGCUCUCCGGUUUCUCUAGUUUCCCCUCUCCGUGAAUCGACCAACUAUCAUGCUUGGAGUAAAUCCAUGUUCACUGGCCUUAGCACCAAGAACAAAGUGCGCAAUAGACCACAUUGUUUCUUCUCUUCACCACUUAUA
Molecule: long non-coding RNA, 936 nt
Filed under: Vigna radiata
Lineage: Eukaryota; Viridiplantae; Streptophyta; Magnoliopsida; Fabales; Fabaceae
Description: long non-coding RNA (VRAD_LNC003028)
Source: RNAcentral